GACGAACGCUGGCGGCGUGCUUAACACAUGCAAGUCGAACGGAAAGGCCCUGCUUUUGUGGGGUGCUCGAGUGGCGAACGGGUGAGUAACACGUGAGUAACCUGCCCUUGACUUUGGGAUAACUUCAGGAAACUGGGGCUAAUACCGGAUAGGAGCUCCUGCUGCAUGGUGGGGGUUGGAAAGUUUCGGCGGUUGGGGAUGGACUCGCGGCUUAUCAGCUUGUUGGUGGGGUAGUGGCUUACCAAGGCUUUGACGGGUAGCCGGCCUGAGAGGGUGACCGGCCACAUUGGGACUGAGAUGCGGCCCAGACCCCUACGGGAGGCAGCAGUGGGGAAUAUUGCACAAUGGGCGGAAGCCUGAUGCAGCAACGCCGCGUGCGGGAUGACGGCCUUCGGGUUGUAAACCGCUUUCGCCUGUGACGAAGCGUGAGUGACGGUAAUGGGUAAAGAAGCACCGGCUAACUACGUG
RNAcentral lists this ribosomal RNA (468 nucleotides) under uncultured bacterium. RNAcentral describes it as "partial 16S ribosomal RNA". It matches the Rfam family "Bacterial small subunit ribosomal RNA", at positions 28 to 507 of the family's 1533-position model. The record is from RNAcentral.